Molecule: long non-coding RNA, 1801 nt
Organism: Glycine soja
Lineage: Eukaryota; Viridiplantae; Streptophyta; Magnoliopsida; Fabales; Fabaceae
Exons: 4
Source: RefSeq, a predicted model, not a curated record
ACAGUGGUGUUGUCUUGGGGUAGGGUAAGUGGGCUGUUAUCAUCACUCCGCCCUUGAAGAAGGUCGUUGUCCUCAAUGACCAACGAAUCAGAAGAGAGGCCACGAUUGUGCUUUCAGGAAACGUUGGAGAUGUAAAGACUAGGAUUGGUUGGUUGGGAAAAGAAGUGGGGAUUGAAGGGACAUUAGUCUUGGGUAGUGGUCUCUUGGGAAAAGGAAGACACGUUGAAGUGAUAAGGAUGGUAUAGGUUGGUUGUUGGUUUAGGGCAAUGGUAGGAUUAGGGAUAGGUCCCAAGGUAGUGGAGAUCAUGUGGAUGAUGGGGAUUGGUUUGUAGGAUUGGUAGAAAAAUUAAGUGUUGGGGAAGUGUUUGUAAGUGGUUUAGUUGGUGUACUUUGAGAGAAAGGGGUUGGAGAGAAGCAAAUAGGGUGAGGUUCUUGAGAUGUUAUUGUUUCCAAUGGUGAAAGGGAGAUGACUGGCAGGGGAGAGUACUAAGUGUGAGGGUCGUUGCCUUUGAAGGGCCACAAUAAUGAGACAUGAAAGACGGGGUGGAUGCGAGAAGAGGGAGGAAGCACAAGCUCGUAAGCAACACGGUCUAGGUGCCGACGAACUUGAAACAACCUAAAAAGUUUCUUUGCCAAAUUUUGAGAGGUUCUGCGGGCCACUGUGGAUUGUCAGUGAGUCUGAGCUUCAAGAGGACCCAAUCACCUUCCUCAAAGGUAAUAUCUCGACAACUCUUGUUUGCUUGACUAAGCAUACUCUGCUUAUUUCUUUGAAUAUUUUUCUUAUAACUGGUGCAAGAUUUGUUCUUUGUAUUGCAAGGAAGAGUCAAGGUUAGACACGAAAGAUGUGUCCAGGAUGAAAUGAGAAAAUGCUGGUGGAGGUCAACCAUUGAGGGCUUGGAAUGGUGAUGUGUCAAUGGUAGAGUGAUGGCUAGUAUUGUACGAAUAUUUAACAAGAUGAAGAAAGGAGUACCAAUGUCGCGGUUGAUCACUAGCAUAACACCAUAGGGUGUGAACCAUUGCUGGAUAUGGAGAAGAAGUAACCAUUAAUAGCAAAGUUGGGGUUUUCGGGAGAGACAGGGCACCAACUACUUUGUCUUGUUUGCCAGGUACUGGCGCUACUUCUUGACGAACUCAGUGAUCACAUCUAAUUCGCAACUGUAAGUGGAGGCAGCUUGCUAUAAGGACUUAACUUCUUACUGAAAUAAGUAAUGAGGUAGCCUUGCUGAGACAGGUUGGCACCAAUGGUGAUACUAGAAGCAUCAGUCUCCACUAUAAAAACCUUGGAGAAGUUAGAAGUACAAGUUCUCAAUUGAGUGAAAAAGUUGGAAAAUGCACUAAUUUAUGAAGAUUUGAAGAUUCUGCACUUGUUAAUGGCCAUGGUCAACCAAGAGGACCGUGGUCAACCAAGAUGAUCGUGGUCACCAAUAGGGCCGUGGUCAAUCCAUAACAACCCAAAACUUCAACAACAUCUAUGAUAAUGACCGUGGUGGAUUCACCAUAUUCGUAAUGCGCCUUUUCGUGGAACAUAUUUAAGAAACGAUAUAUAGAUCUCUAAACUUUGUAAAACAUUAUCCAAUUUUUAUUCUUGUAUUUUGCGAAUUUGAGAGAACCUUGAGGGCUUUUGAGAGCUGAAGAGCGUGGACAAUAACAUUAGUACGGGUCAUGAUCAUUGUUCCUACCUAUUGAUAUGUCUAUGUUUAUUCUUUAUAGGAUUACUAGUUUUUCUCUAAUCAUGAGUGGCUAGUCCCCUUAGCCUAGGAGUUAUAAUGUAACUAUCAAAAUGUACUCAUUUCCUUGUUCU